This 497-nucleotide ribosomal RNA is filed under the name uncultured bacterium. RNAcentral describes it as "partial 16S ribosomal RNA". It matches the Rfam family "Bacterial small subunit ribosomal RNA", at positions 28 to 507 of the family's 1533-position model. The record is from RNAcentral.
GAUGAACGCUGGCGGCGUGCCUAAUACAUGCAAGUCGAGCGAACAGAUGAGGAGCUUGCUCCUCUGACGUUAGCGGCGGACGGGUGAGUAACACGUGGAUAACCUACCUAUAAGACUGGGAUAACUUCGGGAAACCGGAGCUAAUACCGGAUAAUAUAUUGAACCGCAUGGUUCAAUAGUGAAAGACGGUUUUGCUGUCACUUAUAGAUGGAUCCGCGCUGCAUUAGCUAGUUGGUAAGGUAACGGCUUACCAAGGCAACGAUGCGUAGCCGACCUGAGAGGGUGAUCGGCCACACUGGAACUGAGACACGGUCCAGACUCCUACGGGAGGCAGCAGUAGGGAAUCUUCCGCAAUGGGCGAAAGCUUGACGGAGCAACGCCGCGUGAGUGAUGAAGGUCUUCGGAUCGUAAAACUCUGUUAUUAGGGAAGAACAAAUGUGUAAGUAACUAUGCACGUCUUGACGGUACCUAAUCAGAAAGCCACGGCUAACUACGUG